AGUACGUGAAACUGCUUAGAGGUUAAACCCGAUGAACCUGAAUAUCCAUUAUGGAAAAUUCAAUACUAAUAAUACAAUAUAACAUCAUAUUGUAAAAAUAGUGUGCAAUUUUUCCAUAUAAGGACAUUGUAAUCUGUUAAUGUAAUAAUUAUUUAUCAAAAGAUUCUUUACUUAAGUUUAUUUAAAUUGUUUAUUUUCGGAUAUUCAACAUAAAAUAAAUGUAUUGAAUCAGAUAAAUCAUUGACAGAUAUAAUUAUAUAUGGUGCUUAAAUUUUACGGAAUUUUGCAAUGGUAAAUAGUUCUUAUGAUCUAUUUAUUAUAUUGUUUGCGCUAUUAUGAUUAACAAUGCGAUAGAUUCAGGAUACCUUCGGGACCCGUCUUGAAACACGGACCAAGGAGUCUAACAUAUGUGCAAGUCAUUGGGUAUUUUUAAUAAAACCCAAUGGCAUAAUUAACUUAACUUAUAUAUUAUAAUGGGAUUAAUUUAUAAUUUAUUAUGAAUUAUUUAUUCAAUCCCGGGGCGUUCUAUAUAGUUAUGUAUAAUAGUAUUUAUAUUAUUUAUACCUCUAACUAGAGCGUACCUUGAGC
This 588-nucleotide ribosomal RNA is filed under the name Ocyptamus dimidiatus. RNAcentral's name for it is "eukaryotic LSU rRNA". The record is from RNAcentral. Lineage: Eukaryota; Metazoa; Arthropoda; Insecta; Diptera; Syrphidae.